This 114-nucleotide non-coding RNA is filed under the name Rhinolophus ferrumequinum (greater horseshoe bat). Lineage: Eukaryota; Metazoa; Chordata; Mammalia; Chiroptera; Rhinolophidae. The record is from RNAcentral.
GUGUCAUAGGAAGGAGUAAAGAUAGACUCUCAACAAGGAUGGAAGAGGCUCUUGUAGACCUUACAGCACAUAGACGGUUAAGGCAUUGCUAUCUACUCAUGGUUUCAGUUUUUA